Molecule: long non-coding RNA, 98 nt
Organism: Haliotis rubra (blacklip abalone)
Lineage: Eukaryota; Metazoa; Mollusca; Gastropoda; Lepetellida; Haliotidae
Exons: 3
Source: RefSeq, a predicted model, not a curated record
UAUGGUGUUGAUUGACAGACAGACAGACAGACAGACAGUUUACUAAAGUCUAACCUUGUUACAUUACAUAAUUAAAAUUUUACAUAUACAUAAGACGU